UCCUGGUGGCUCAGUUGGUAAAGAGUCUGCCUGCAAUGCAGGAGACCCAGAUUCAAUCCCUGGGUCGGGAA
RNAcentral lists this transfer RNA (71 nucleotides) under Bos taurus (domestic cattle). It matches the Rfam family "tRNA". Rfam says of the family: Transfer RNA (tRNA) molecules are approximately 80 nucleotides in length. RNAcentral also lists the same sequence under 3 other names. The record is from Rfam by way of RNAcentral. Lineage: Eukaryota; Metazoa; Chordata; Mammalia; Artiodactyla; Bovidae.